UACGUAGGGCGCGAGCGUUGUCCGGAUUUAUUGGGCGUAAAGAGCUCGUAGGUGGCCUGUCGCGUCGGCUGUGAAAACUCGGGGCUCAACUCCGAGCUUGCAGUCGAUACGGGCAGGCUAGAGUUCGGCAGGGGAGACUGGAAUUCCUGGUGUAGCGGUGAAAUGCGCAGAUAUCAGGAGGAACACCGGUGGCGAAGGCGGGUCUCUGGGCCGAUACUGACACUGAGGAGCGAAAGCGUGGGGGAGCGAACAGG
This 254-nucleotide ribosomal RNA is filed under the name uncultured bacterium. Its description in RNAcentral is "partial 16S ribosomal RNA". It matches the Rfam family "Bacterial small subunit ribosomal RNA", at positions 524 to 776 of the family's 1533-position model. The record is from RNAcentral.